This 500-nucleotide ribosomal RNA is filed under the name uncultured bacterium. RNAcentral's name for it is "partial 16S ribosomal RNA". It matches the Rfam family "Bacterial small subunit ribosomal RNA", at positions 30 to 523 of the family's 1533-position model. The record is from RNAcentral.
AUUGAACGCUGGCGGAAUGCUUUACACAUGCAAGUCGAACGGCAGCACGGACUUCGGUCUGGUGGCGAGUGGCGAACGGGUGAGUAAUGUAUCGGAACGUGCCCAGUCGUGGGGGAUAACGUAGUGAAAAUUACGCUAAUACCGCAUACGAUCUAUGGAUGAAAGCGGGGGAUCGCAAGACCUCGCGCGAUUGGAGCGGCCGAUAUCAGAUUAGGUAGUUGGUGGGGUAAGGGCCCACCAAGCCAACGAUCUGUAGCUGGUCUGAGAGGACGAGAGGCCACACGGGAACUGGAGCUCGGUCCAGACUCCUACGGGAGGCAGCAGGGGGGAAUUUUGGACAAUGGGCGAAAGCCUGAUCCAGCCAUUCCGCGUGCAGGAUGAAGGCCCUCGGGUUGUAAACUGCUUUUGUACAGAACGAAAAGGUUUCUACUAAUACUAGGAGCUCAUGACGGUACUGUAAGAAUAAGCACCGGCUAACUACGUGCCAGCCGCCGCCGUAA